UACUGAUUUCACAGUCCUCAAUGUAUUGAGAUAAUGAAAGGUUAUUUUCAAAUUUGAAAUUGAUUAGUUUAUUGGUUUUCCUAAUUACAUCUCCAAGUUUAAUAUCUUACUGAAAAAACGUUCUCUGCUUGCUAUCACCACUACCGCUCCACUAUGUGUAAACUGCAGCUAGAGUUUGCGCUUUGUCUUCGCCUUCGUUCUCACUGAUUUCUUCAAUCGCUGUCCCUCUCCAUAGCUUCAGAUCCACCACACCCAUUGAGAAAAAUUAACCAGCUACGUUCAAUCUUCGUUGUUUCUGUGAACAUUGUUUAUUCGUGAUUUUGAGAAGAAUUCAUUUUUGAUUUUGGAAAACCCUUGCUUUCCCAUUAACUGAUUUUGUUUAGGGUUUGAAUCGUUUAUCAAUUUUUCCCUGAAAACCAACAACCAUAAUAACUAGGGUUUUUAACGCACCUAUAUUCUUCCUUUUCAAACUUGAUUUCGUUACACCAUCCACUCUCACCGCAAGUUUGUUGUUUUCUUCACCUUCGUUCCAUUUCUCUAUCUAUUCUGCUUUCGAUUUAGUUAACUAACAUUGUUUGAUUCUCUUUGCUGUCAUGGAUGAAGUUAUUCAAGAACAUGGUGUUGUCAUUUCAGAUCCAUCAUAGAUCGAUGUCAAACUCUUCAAUUGCUAGAGCUUUGAUGAUAUCCAAGUUUAUUUCAGAUCCAACUUAAUUUUUUGUUGUAAUUUGUAAUAUAUACUCUGGUGAAGUUUAUAAAUUUAUGAUUUUUGUUGGUUGUAAUUUUGUUGUUUUUAUUGUGUUAGCUCACUGAUUUUUCGUUGAGUGACUAUAUUGCGACAACCAAAAUUCCUUGCACUAUGGGAGAUACUCUAUGAAGAGGUUUAGGAAAUUGCAGAAAUAUACAACAAGGGAAAUAAGGUUAACUUCAACCUGCUGUUGAGUUCCUUCCUAUGAUAGAUGAUAUGGAUAUUUGAGAAAUACUACUACGAAUCAUUUUUUUAAAUAUAUUCCUUUGUUAUUGGAUCUAUGUUGAUUUCCCUGAUGCUAAAAAAUGAAAGAAGAUUCUAAGAAUCUUUCUUGCAAAACAUAGUUUGUACUCUGAUUUUUGAGUUUGACGAACUAUCUAACUUGACCGAAGGAUACGCUGGCAGUGAUUUGAAGGCUAUUCAGAUUAAUGUUUAGAAGCUGUGUUUUAUGGAUCGCUUAUGAGGUUGGGUUUGGCUCGAAUGUUUGAGAGAGUCUUAGACAAGAUGUUUCAGUCUACCAAGGAGGUUUACUUCAAGGUUACUUGGCUUGUGUUCUAAUUUGUGUCUAAGUCAAGGGAUGCUAAUCAACAAGGCAAUAGAUUUGGGCAGAGGGAAAUUAAGGGCUUAAAUGAUGGGAACAUAUGAUAUUUAGAUGUGCUUCAUCAACAGUUUUAUCAUGUCGGUUUUUUAUUGCGAAUUCAGAAGUAGCUGCAAUGUUACACGGGUUUAUGUCACAUACUUAUGCAGUCACAGUUGGCCAUCUCCACCAUUAUGUAGUUGUCGUGCCAUUACACGUGUUAAAUGUAAUUGGGCCAAUUUUGUUAAGGUUUUUUCGGAAUUCUGACAGGAUCUUGAACCAUCAGUUGAUUCGUAGAGACUAGAGACUGAGCUGGUAGGGGAGUUGGUUUGGCUGGUGAAGUUUAUCUAAUUUGUUUUUAUUUUUUUGGCGCGGUGGAUGGUAUUUUCAGCUUACCGUAUAUCGGAGCGUCGUUUGCACCUGUGAUCAAGUGUAGCUUGCGUUGAAAUUUGGAUUUUAAUCAUGUAGAUGGAUUUUAAUUGAUGCUUCUAUUGCUGGUAAAGUUUCAGAUUGUUCCUUAUUCUUUAUCCUGGGUAGCUGGUAUUUAGCGCGCUAUCGAUCUUUUUCGCAUCGGGUGUUUCUGCAGCGUAUGUGCCUCUGAUAGUUUUUUUAAGGAAGAAUGCUUGCUGGUUGUGAGGCACAGUCGUCGCGGAGUAUCAGGAAUUUUGGUGUCGACGGUCGAGAGGUCUUUUAGAUAGACGGUAAUUAAAUUGUUCUAAGUUGGUGUUUUUGGUCUAUCAUGCAGUGCUGGUCUGGUCUUUUGUUUCUGUCAUGCAAUGCUAUUUUUCGUGUAUACUAUUGUUUUGGGGUAGUUUUCUCUAUUGGCUUAGACGUUCUUCAAGUGGUGUUGUUUAAUGGCCUUAAAUUUUGGCACAAUAUUCAUGUAUGUUCUUUAGUGGA
Long non-coding RNA from Vicia villosa (hairy vetch), 2222 nucleotides. RefSeq lists it as uncharacterized. The record is from RefSeq and is a predicted model, not a curated record. NCBI's taxonomy places the organism in Eukaryota, Viridiplantae, Streptophyta, Magnoliopsida, Fabales, Fabaceae. The transcript has 4 exons.